Long non-coding RNA from Podarcis raffonei (Aeolian wall lizard), 1099 nucleotides. RefSeq lists it as uncharacterized. The record is from RefSeq and is a predicted model, not a curated record. The transcript is spliced from 2 exons. Lineage: Eukaryota; Metazoa; Chordata; Lepidosauria; Squamata; Lacertidae.
CUCACCAGGUGCUUCCAAGAAGCUCAUCAACCGGGCAUGGAGGCAAGAGCCAACCCAUAGUCUCCCUAUCGCCGCCAUUUGUAUUCAGAAUUCAGCUCUUGGAGAGAUGGAGCUUGUCAUAGUUAACGACUGCUCAGCCACAUUCUGAAUCAGCUGCAGCUUCCAAGUGGUUCGUGAAGGCAGCCCUCAGAGAUCACAUCACAGUAGACCUGGAGCUCUUCAGAUGUUCCAUCAUCUCAAAUCAUUGACCAAGCUGGCAGUGGUUGACAUGAAUUAGAAGUCCAACAGCAGCAGAAGGUGGCGGACUCUCAUUCAAUGGAGGUUUUUAAGCAGAGGUGAAUUGGCCAUCUGUCAGGUAUUCUUUAGCUGUGAUUCCCGCAUUAAAGGGGGUUGGACUAGAUAACUCUUGAGGUCCCUCUCAACUCUACAGUUCAGUGAUUCCUAACGCUGCGGUCCCACAGAACUUUCCCCAGCCUGCAGUAGAUGAAGGAGGAUAUUUCCAAGCCAUUUAUGACACUUGCAGUGGGUCUUAAAUAUGGCCAAAUUAUGCCUUUGGGAACAGUGAGCUGGGAUAAAGUAUGAGAGGAAAUGGCGAAAGUGUGGCAACAGGCAGGAAUUUAAUGCAGAGACUCUGCAGGGGAAAAAAUAACCACAGGGAACUGGGCAUUUUAUGAGGUUCAGUGGCACAGUCGAUAUAGGUACUUUGAAUCAGAAAGCAAAUAGAGUAGCAAAAAAUGACAGCCCAAGAUGCUGUUUUGUAUGGGAUACCAAAAAAAAAGGAAAGAAGGAAAGAGAUGGAGAGAAUGUGUAAUUCUCUAAGGCUUACAGUUUUUAAAGAGUUCACCAAUCAACUGUCCUUUGUGGUGGUGGUGGUAAAGCCUUAGUUUUAUCACAUCAGUGUUCCAAUAUCGCAAUACAUUUUUCAUUCUGGGGGACAACAAAGGACACAAUGUGGUUUUAAAUCCAGGGUUCCGGUGUGCUUUGCACAUAAACUGAUUGUGCCCCAGGCUUUUGAUCUGCAGUGAAAAUGGGGGCAGUGGGAAAUAGCAAUUGAUUAGCAACUGGUGAGAUUCUGCACAGGGUUAACAACUGGGGGUUU